This 321-nucleotide ribosomal RNA is filed under the name Methylobacterium sp. MB3.5. RNAcentral describes it as "bacterial SSU rRNA". It matches the Rfam family "Bacterial small subunit ribosomal RNA", at positions 1007 to 1329 of the family's 1533-position model. The record is from RNAcentral. Lineage: Bacteria; Pseudomonadati; Pseudomonadota; Alphaproteobacteria; Hyphomicrobiales; Methylobacteriaceae.
UUGGGGUCCCCCUUCGGGGGCGCGCACACAGGUGCUGCAUGGCUGUCGUCAGCUCGUGUCGUGAGAUGUUGGGUUAAGUCCCGCAACGAGCGCAACCCACGUCCUUAGUUGCCAUCAUUCAGUUGGGCACUCUAGGGAGACUGCCGGUGAUAAGCCGCGAGGAAGGUGUGGAUGACGUCAAGUCCUCAUGGCCCUUACGGGAUGGGCUACACACGUGCUACAAUGGCGGUGACAGUGGGACGCGAAGGAGCGAUCUGGAGCAAAUCCCCAAAAGCCGUCUCAGUUCGGAUUGCACUCUGCAACUCGGGUGCAUGAAGGCGG